AGAGUUUGAUCCUGGCUCAGAACGAACGCUGGCGGCAGGCUUAACACAUGCAAGUCGAACGUGAAGCAGGAGCUUGCUCCUGUGGAAAGUGGCAGACGGGUGAGUAACGCGUGGGAAUUUACCCAGUGGUUCGGAAUAACUUCAGGAAACCGGAGCUAAUACCGAAUACGCCCUUCGGGGGAAAGAUUUAUCGCCAUUGGAUGAGCCCGCGUCGGAUUAGCUUGUUGGUGAGGUAAAAGCUCACCAAGGCGACGAUCCGUAGCUGGUCUGAGAGGAUGAUCAGCCACACUGGGACUGAGACACGGCCCAGACUCCUACGGGAGGCAGCAGUGGGGAAUAUUGCGCAAUGGAGGAAACUCUGACGCAGCCAUGCCGCGUGAGUGAAGAAGGCCUUAGGGUUGUAAAACUCUUUCGCUAGGGAAGAUAAUGACGGUACCUAGUAAAGAAGCCCCGCCAACU
Molecule: ribosomal RNA, 459 nt
Filed under: uncultured bacterium
Lineage: Bacteria
Description: bacterial SSU rRNA
Rfam family: Bacterial small subunit ribosomal RNA
Source: RNAcentral